CUCAAGGCGUUUUUUCGCGUUGUGACAACGCCACACACAUAUUCACAAAGUUUUUG
Steinernema glaseri is the source of this 56-nucleotide non-coding RNA. Lineage: Eukaryota; Metazoa; Nematoda; Chromadorea; Rhabditida; Steinernematidae. The record is from Rfam.